This 425-nucleotide ribosomal RNA is filed under the name uncultured bacterium. RNAcentral describes it as "partial 16S ribosomal RNA". It matches the Rfam family "Bacterial small subunit ribosomal RNA", at positions 354 to 796 of the family's 1533-position model. The record is from RNAcentral.
GUGGGGAAUAUUGGACAAUGGGCGCAAGCCUGAUCCAGCCAUGCCGCGUGAGUGAUGAAGGCCCUAGGGUUGUAAAUCUCUUUCACCGAUGAUGAUAAUGACGGUAGUCGGAGAAGAAGCCCCGGCUAACUUCGUGCCAGCAGCCGCGGUAAUACGACGGGGGCUAGCUUUGUUCGGAUUUACUGGGCGUAAAGCGCACGUAGGCGGAUCGUUAAGUCGGCGGUGAAAUCCUGGAGCUCAACUCCAGAUCUGCCUUCGAUACUGGCGAUCUUGAGUCCGGAAGAGGUGAGUGGAACUCCUAGUGUAGAGGUGGAAUUCGUAGAUAUUAGGAAGAACACCAGUGGCGAAGGCGGCAUACUGGUCCGGAACUGACGCUGAGGUGCGAAAGCGUGGGGAGCAAACAGGAUUAGAAACCCUAGUAGUCC